Amphiprion ocellaris (clown anemonefish) is the source of this 3092-nucleotide long non-coding RNA. RefSeq lists it as uncharacterized. The transcript has 2 exons. The record is from RefSeq and is a predicted model, not a curated record. Lineage: Eukaryota; Metazoa; Chordata; Actinopteri; Pomacentridae.
CACAGGUGGCUAACUUACCACUGAACACCUGUGUUAGUUGCUGCCGCAGCUGUCCUCAUUAUUAGAAUGACCUUCUCAACCUGUAUUUCUCUGCUGUGUAUUUUAGCUUUUAAAAAAGUUAUUUUACUUUAAGGUUAACUGAAACCCGUUCAGCUGCACUGAAGUUUAACAAUCAGCUGCUUUGAAUUAAACCACGCUUAACUUAACAUUGUGCAACAUUACCUCUCUGAAUCUCCAUAAUUUCAUUAAAUUCCUUCUCUCUUCCACUGCUCAAGUUCAAUCCAGUAUAUAAAGUGACAUUAAUAGUGAAUAAACUAACAACCAGCCAUUGUAUUUACUUAUUAUUGCAUGUAUUUGUAGUAAAACAUGAGAGGAAACAUCCUACUUUUGGAUCUAGAACUGCACAAGCCGUUCAUUUUCAGUCACCUGAUGAGUUAAACUCCCCUUUUUAUGUGAGGUUGAAGCAGAAAGUCUGAGUUAACAAAGAAAGUUGUUUAUAAUUUGCGAUACCUGUUAUCUCUGACUGAGGCUUUAGUUUUUGUUGAGCCGAUUUACACGUAGAAACUUUGUUCAGGAAGAUUUGUCAGUAGUUCAGAGGACAGGCUGCUUUUUACACAACCUUGUAAGAGAAUGUCUGUCAAUGCUUUCAGCAGAAUUUAGAAACACAACACUUCCUAAACAGAUAUUUUGAGGCUGUGAGGUUGAACGUUUGAGAGUAUAUCAGUGUGUUUGUUUGUGGUCUUUCUGUUUCUAGGUGGAAGCUGAAUUAGUGAGGAUGACUCCUGCUCCUGUCAUCUCUAAGCUCCUCCCACAUCUUUACCUGCACAUGAGGAAAAUCACUCCUGUAGAAUGCAGAUGUUCAGAGGGAGAUGAUGCCACAUCUGGUCCAGCUGAUGGAAGGUCUUGAAGUUCUCUGACUGGCCUCGACUGAAGAUGGUCGUCUCACUGGAUUUAAGGUUCAGAUGCUCAGUAACAAACUCCACCAAUGAGCCAACAGGGAAGUUUUAGGUUUAUUAAAUGUUGCUAUGAAGGUAUCACUGUUUUUCUUUGUGAAUGCAAUGUGCUCCAACUGAAAGUUGAAUUAGAACUUAGAAGUAAAUCCUUCCAUCUGAAAGGAUUUAGUUGCAUUAAUAACCUCAUAACAUUCUAAUUUUUAUUCCAGUCUUGGUUGGAAAUAGAAUCUCUGUAUUGAUUCAGGUAAAAACUGAACUUCACAGCAUGUUGGAGCAAAACAACCAGAUGAAAACUGUGAUGGUGUUGGAUUGUCAGACCGUAAUGUUGCAGCUCAAAGCAGCUUUUCUAGCUCAGUUCAUUCUGACAUUCAGCUAUGAAUCAACACAGCAGAUGGUGAUCCAUGCUGUGGAAAUCUCACAUCUCCUGAUUUAAUGGAGCUGCUUUGCACUUUUUACACUGUUUAUUCACCAACUCUUUAUUUAAUAAAAGUCCUAUCUAGUUUUUAUGAGGAAUGUGAUGCUUUAAUUUCUCUGUGAAUAACUGCAGUCUAAUGGAACAGCUGGAGUUGUAACAUCUGUCCUGAUAUUGAUCAUGAAGUAUUGAUCAGAAUACUUAUGGUCAGCAGUCAUCCCUGAAGUUUUACAUUAAAAUCUUUACUUGUGUUGUGAACUUUGGUAAGAAGCAGAAACUUUAGCGUUGCCAUGGAUACAUGAGUGUUAAAUUCUGUCCAUGUUUCCAUUUUGGGAAAUGCAGUCCAGGAGAUGAGUUUGUUUUUACUGCCAGCUACAUUCAGUCUGAGAUAUUAAGAAUAAAUAAAUGUGCAUAAUGUUGAAAUGAAAAGAUUUCAUUUUUAUUUAUUCCUACAGCUGGUGCUGGUAAAGUUCCAGAAUGUGGAGGAAUUUAGUCUCACAAUCACAGACAAUAAAUAUUAUCUGAAAGUCUGGUGAUUGUUGUUUAUCAGCACAAUACAAAAAGAUUCAUGUUAGACAUAUUCCAGUUAAGACUCUAGAAUAUCAUGAUUUAUGUAAAUUUACCUCAAUAAUAUGAAUGUUCAGGUUAAGAUUGUGCAGUGAUAUUUAUUAUGUAAGUUUAGCUGAUUAAAGUUUAUGACUCUGCACUACAAUAUUAUUUAUUAUUAAAAUUAACAUCAUUAUUAUAAUAUUUAGGGUCAGACCCUACAGUAUUGAGAUUAAGAAAUCGUUCUAUAAAUUUUCUAUAAAAUGUAAGUACACUGAACUCAUUUGGAUAUAUUCGAGACUCUACAAUAUUAUUUGACACAAAUCUAUCUAAAUCCAAAUUUUAAUCAUUUUUACUCCAAACAUGUACUAGACUGAUUUAAAUAUUAAAAUCACUCCUUUCUAAUCCUCUGCUGUACGUUCAAACCUGAUGCCUUAAAUAGAAACAAGUAUCUGAUUGAAGGAACUUCUGCAGAGUCCUGGUUCCAGAACAUGAUGAUAGAAUUAUAGACAAACUUUAACAAAAGCUGCCUGAGAGUUUACAGGUUUUUAUGUUAGAUUUCUUCAGUAAUUUAAUGAGUUAUCAGCAAAAAUCAAGUGUUCAUUUGAUGAACUUCAUUUCCUUAAACAUCCAGAAUUGGAGCUCAUAUCUUUGGCAGCUGUAAAGUUUCUGCUCCUUCAAAGUUCACAACACAAUGAAUGAAUUCCUAAAACACUCUCAAUGCUGGAGAGCGUUUGAUGCUGAAGCAGUGAUCAGUUUUUCUGUUUCUUCUCUGGAGAUGCACAAUGAGGGAUGUCUGCAGAGACUGAGAAAGAGUCUCACCACAUCCUGACAUGAGGAAAAAGACUUUACUGAAGACUACAAUGAGAAAAACUAUCAGACAGCAGACGGCUGCAUUCAAGGUGAGCUCUGAACAUUUGAUCUGGAACAGGAAUUCAAUCACGGCAGCAUGAGCUUCAUUUCAGUCUGUAGCUGCUGAAUUCAUGGAUGAAUCAUCUGGCACUAGAGAGGAAGACCAUCAAACAUCCACGUCAGCUGAUGGAGGUCCAAGAGUCUCACCCAACAAACAACCUACAGAGUGAAGACCUCCAAUCUGAUUGGACGGCCUCCUAUUCAGCCACGUGUGAACAAAUGCCUCUAAGCUGAUUUGUUUUCUAAAAUAAAUCUAGUUUGAGUCCUAA